UUUGAGGGUGGGAUCCAUGGAUGAUGGGUUUUUUUUAUUUUAGGGGGGAGUGGCCGAUGAUGCUAAGAUGCACUCAAAGUUUGCCUGAAGGACCCAAAACUCCUCCCUACAUUUACUGCCUUUGCCUUUCUAAUCGGGUCAACGCUCUUCCAAUUAUGAGGUUUCUGUACGCAUUAGUUAUAUAAGAGUGUUGAUCUCAGAGGUGUUGUUGAUUUCUGUUUCAAAAUGUAUACAUUGUAUGAAUACGUGCUUUAUUGGAUUAGUUUCUUUUGAGAGCAUUGUGCCAAGUACUUGACUAGAGAUUAACAGCGUGUAAUUUUGUUAGAGUUUGGGUUGAUUUGGGCUGAAGUUUGGAUCGUAGGGGCUCAAUUGACCCAAUUUAAACUUUGGGGCCGAAUUGAUUAUGUGAUGCGGUAUUGGAAAAGGAUUAAACUUGGGAAUUAUAGUCAUUGUAGAGUUAGGAAGUUUAAGAGUAUUUUAGGAAUUUUAUUUUUCUUAGGUUAAUUCCUAGUUUUUGUUUAGAAUUUCUAAGUGAUCAACUGUAUGACAAUCUCCACAAAAAACUGAUAUGCUGAUAUUAUGAUUAUUUUCAUUGUGAAAUGUAUCUUUCUCUGCAAGUUUUUUGGAUCUUCUAUAUUUGCAGUGGCUGAUUUGUUUGUCUAUAUUGACUACAGAAUUACUUGGAUGGGUAAGACAAUUCAAGUGUAUGGAUUCCCUUCUAGUGUUACUGCAAAUGCAGUUAAGAGUUUUCUGGAAAUGCAUACAGGUGAAGGAACAAUUUUUGCCAUCAAGAUAAGGGAAACCAAAAAUGGGGGUCCAAGAAAAUAUGCUAUUGUUCAAUUCAUGACCGUCAGAGAUGCUGAAUAUAUUCUCUCUCUGACUAAUGAACGACUUUGGUAUGGUACUUCAUAUAUUAAGGCUCGGCCGAUGGAUCUUGAUAUUGUACCAAAGCCCAGGACCUUUUUGCACAGUAUGGAACAUAUAACACUGCAUUUUGGAAGUCAGUUGUCAAAAGAAAAAUUUUAUGUUCUAUGGAAAGGUACAGAUGUUUUAGUGAAUUUUGGAUCUGGAAUGAGAAAAUUGCACUUUUAUCUAUCUCAUCAUCACGUGGAGUACAAGCUUGACCUUUCCUAUGAGAACAUUUGGCAGAUAGAGCUAUAUCGUCCUCGUGGUCAAUUUGUGAAGUAUCUUGUGAUUCAGUUAUAUGGAGCACCACGGAUUUUUGAGAAAGAUAUACGCCCGUCAUGGAAUGUGUAUGAGAAUCCACUUUUCAACUUUUUUAAGGAUGUCCCAGAUGACCAGUGGAUCAGGACAACUGAUUUUACUCCAUCAUGCCUUAUUGGGCAUUCAGCUGCAUUAUGUUUGGAACUUCCUUCCAGUCUCCGAGUUCCAAAUUUUCAGGAGAACUUUGCUUAUUAUAAAGAAACUGAAGGAAAUUUUGUUUUACAGACUGGUUCUGCUUUUUCUCGCAAUCUGGAUCUAGUUCCCAUUGUGGGUCCUCCCUCUGGUUUCGAUUUGCCAUAUGAAAUCUUAUUUCAGGUUAAUUUGUUGGUUCAGAAUGGGUGCCUUCCAGGGCCAGCACUUGAUGCUAAUUUUUACAAGUUGGUUGAUCCGAGCAGAAUGAAUAUUGUCUGCAUAGAGCAUGCUCUUGAGAAACUUUUUCACUUGAAAGAAUGUUGUUAUGAACCUUCUAGGUGGCUCAAUGAACAGUAUAGAAAGUAUCUUAUGUCUAAGAACCAUCCAAAAUCGCCUUCUAUAUCCUUAGAUACUGGUUUGGUAUAUGUGCGCAGGGUUCAAAUAACACCUUGUAAAGUGUAUUUUUGUGGUCCAGAGGUUAAUGUCUCAAACCGUGUGCUACGCCACUAUCAGAAAGAUCUCAAUAACUUUCUUCGCGUGUCUUUUGUUGACGAAGAGUUGGAUAAAAUUCAUUCAACAAAUUUAUCUCCGCGAGCCUCUUCUGAAAAUGAGGAUAGGAGAACUGCUAUUUAUAAAAGGAUUCUCUCUACUCUUCAAAAUGGAAUAGUUAUUGACAAGAAAAAGUUUGAGUUCCUUGCCUUUUCGUCUAGUCAGUUGCGGGAAAAUUCAUGCUGGAUGUUUGCUUCAAGAUAUGGUCUGACUGCUGCAGAUAUAAGGGAAUGGAUGGGCAACUUCCGUCAGAUACGAAAUGUGGCUAAAUAUGCUGCUAGACUGGGUCAGUCCUUCGGCUCAUCCACUGAAACCCUGAGUGUUAGUCGAGAUGAAAUUGAAAUUAUUCCUGACAUAGAGAUUGGAAGGGGCAGAACUACAUAUACGUUCUCUGAUGGAAUUGGGAAAAUAUCUGCCGAAUUUGCUAGGAGGGUGGCCUUGAAAUGUCGCUGUAAAGGUUUCACGCCAUCUGCAUUUCAAAUUAGAUAUGGUGGGUAUAAAGGUGUCGUGGCAGUUGAUCCAACUUCUUCAAAAAAAUUAUCAUUGAGAAAGAGCAUGUGCAAGUAUGAGUCUGAAAAUACAAAACUGGAUGUUUUAGCGUAUAGCAAGUAUCAGCCUUGUUUUCUGAAUCGGCAACUGAUUACUCUUCUGUCUACCCUUGGUGUUCCAGAUUAUAUUUUUGAGAAAAAACAAAGAGAGGCUGUUGAUCAACUUAAUGCUAUGUUAACAGAUCCAUUAAGGGCACAGGAGGCACUGGAUUUGAUGUCCCCAGGAGAGAUUGCUAACAUUCUGAAGGAAAUGCUUUUGUGUGGUUAUAAGCCCGAUGCAGAACCAUUCCUUUCAAUGAUGCUCCAAACAUUCCGGGCAUCAAAAUUGCUUGAUUUGCGGAUGAAAACUAGGAUUUUUCUUCCAAAUGGAAGAUCUAUGAUGGGAUGUCUAGAUGAGACUAGAACUUUGGAAUACGGACAGGUAUUCGUGCAAUUUUCUGGUACUAGACAUAUGCGGCUAUAUGAUACUUCCAACAUGUUUGGAGGUAGUGGAUCUGACCAGCAUUUUGUGAUUGAGGGAAAGGUGGUUGUAGCUAAGAACCCAUGCUUGCACCCUGGUGAUGUUCGUGUCUUAAGCGCUGUGAAUGUGCCCGCUUUGUACCAUAUGGUGGAUUGUGUUGUUUUUCCACAGAAAGGACAAAGACCUCAUCCAAAUGAAUGUUCUGGAAGUGAUUUGGAUGGAGAUAUCUACUUUGUCUGUUGGGAUACGGGUUUAAUCCCACAUAAGCAAAUUGCACCAAUGGACUAUACGCCAGAGCCAACUAUGCAGCUGGAUCAUGAUGUUACGAUUGAGGUAUUACAUUGUUAGCAUUUGACAAAUUAUCUAUUAUCAAAUGUAGUGAUCAUGUUUUCCUCCCUGGUAAGUUAUUCAGUGCUUAAAUUUAUGAAUCAAAUGCUUUCUGUUGUAUGGUAAAUUCUAGAAUUAGCAUACUUGAAUGUUUUAUUAGUUUUUGCUUUUUCCUGCCCAACAAUAACUAAGAAAUAUUGUACCAAUUUCUCAACAAUUUUUCUAUUUAGUUUAGUCGAAGUGCCUUAUUUCUGCGUGACCAUGAUUGUACUACUACACCUGCAUCUAUUAUGUAUCAAAGUCAGUUAUGUGGACUUUUCACCUGAUGUGUUCACACUUAUAUGUCUAUUCUGUUAGCGAACAAAUACAAAAUUUUUUAGAUGAACCAACAAUUGACAUAAUUUACGCAAGAAAUAAGAAGCAGAUGAAAGGGAGUUGCCAAUUGAUAAUUUUCUGAAUCUCAUUAAAAACUUCAAAGAGACACUUUUGACCUGGAGAUUUCAAUGUUUACUAUCUAACAAUGAUAUCUAGUAGUUUUAUCCUUUCCUAGCCUAUUCAGGUUAUUUUAGGGCGCAAUGAUAAAUUGUUCUUUUGUUUACUUUUGCACAAUGUGUUGUUCUGGUUUAAAAGGGGACACUGAAAACUCUGUCAUGUUUCUUGGUACAACAACAACAACAGCAACAAUCAAGUCUUAAUCCCAAACUAGUUGAAGUUGGUUAUAUGUAUCUUUUUCGCCAUUCAACUCUGUUGGACACCAAGUCUGCAUCAAUAUCCUUUCUUGGUACAAAGAAGAAAAGAAAAUAAAAAGUGUAGCUCAAUGCUAGAGAGUUUCUAAGGGAAGAAUAUUUAAGUACAUAUUUCAAUCACAGAAGAAUAUUUUACUGUCAAUCAGAGUCAUUUGCGAGUAGUGUACGUAUGCUACCAAUCACAUUUGUCUCUAUAUUGUGUUUGAACAGUGAAAAAAAAGGGAUAUACAUAUGUUUUCCCUAUAGAUUCUCCCAUGCUAUUUUAAGGAAACCAUAUUUCCCCUUCAUUUAAUGAUUUUCAUUUUGUUUUUACAGGAAGUUGAGGAGUAUUUCACCAACUACAUUGUAAAUGACAGUUUGGGAAUAAUCUCUAAUGCUCACACUGUCUUUGCUGAUAGGGAACAUUACAAAGCAAUGAGUGAUCCAUGCAUAGAACUUGCACGUAAAUUUUCAAUUGCAGUUGAUUUUCCAAAAACUGGAGUACCAGCUGUAAUACCUCCACAUCUAUUUGUCAAAGAAUAUCCUGAUUUUAUGGAAAAGCCUGACAAGCCCACCUAUGAAUCUCAGAAUGUGAUUGGCAAGCUUUUUCGGGAAGUGAGAGACAUUGCACCGCAUGCAAGUUCUAUCAAGUCCUUUACUAAGGAAGUGGCGGAGCAGUGUUAUGACUCUGAUAUGGAAGUUGAUGGCUUUGAGGAUUACAUAGAUGAUGCCUUUUAUUACAAAAGCAGUUAUGACUUUAAGUUGGGCAAUCAUAUGGACUAUUAUGGCAUCAGAACUGAGGCUGAAAUUCUCGGUGGAAAUAUUAUGAAAAUGUCAAAAUCUUUCACCAAGAGAAGGGAUGCAGAAGCAAUUGGAAUGGCUGUGAGGUCCUUGAGGAAAGAAGCUAGGUCCUGGUUUAAUGAAAAGGGAAGUAGAGUGGAUUCUGAAGCUGAUGAUGUAUAUGCAAAAGCCUCAGCUUGGUAUUAUGUUACCUAUCAUCCUAGUUACUGGGGUUGCUACAAUGAGGGAAUGGGACGAGAUCAUUUUCUUAGCUUUCCAUGGUGUGUUUAUGACAAGCUGAUCGAGAUCAAGAGGAACAAAGCAAGUAUAAGAAGGUCUCUACAUUUGUCAUCUCUGGAACGCCAGUUUAAUCUUGGACUGCAGUUGAGUUGACAAGUCUUGAAAUACUUGAAGAUAUGUAUGGCGUGUGUUUUAAUUCUAUGACAGGAGCUUGUCUAUAUUCAGUUUGCCAGGGAAUUAAUUGAUUUCACUUUCACAGCUAUCAGCGGGUCACAGCUAUCAGCGGGGUCUCUAUAACAGGCCAAUCCAGAUCAAGGGGAACAAAUGAAAGCAUAAAGUUCUUAUAUUUAUCACCUAUAUAUCGUCUGUUUAGAUGUGGACUGCUUUUGAGCUUUAGAAGGCUGAUUGGGAUGUGUGUUUACAUAGUAAUUCAAUAAUGUAAACGUUUAUGUUCAUAGGGUGGUAGAGCUGGCAUGACUAAUUUGGCAAUAUUAUGUUAUAUAAGAUGUUGAAAGAUUGUGUGAUUUGCAUGAUUCUCGAUGCAUUAUCCGCUCUUAGGUGUGAAUCAGCCAUUUUCAAGGUAUGUCCCGUUAUGUGAAGGAUAUGCCAUCCUUUGAUCAACUGUACCCAGAUUGAUCGAAAAAUUGAUCUGGAAAAGGUCAUGUACUGCAAAAGGUCUAUUUAGAAAUCUAUGAAUGUCCCAAGUUUAUUUUAUCCAGUUCCCUGGCAAUUCACAAUUUUGCACAUUUAUUGAGACGUACAAGUAAAGCUGCAUUAAUGGUUUGCUCUUACGGUAGCUUUCAAUUGUGGCAUCUGCGUUUUAGAAUAACAGUUAAUUGAGAUCCUUGUGCGUAGCAUGAUAAUAAGGACAGCAUCACAUCAUCCAUUCUCUCAAGAAAUCGUUCAAACAAUUCGUUUAUAAUCUCGGCUCCAAAGUGUCUGGCGAUGACUCCUUCCAGCCCAGAUCUCAAGUGCAUUGUGAUUGAAUAUGCAGUAGCUGGGUUGUCAGGAUCAGGUACGCAAUCCGUAGGCUCCAUUCUCUCAAUGCUAAAACACCCAUUUCGUUCUACAAUCUGUCUCAUCUCCUUAGGCGUCACAGAGUACAUUGGAACGUUGAAAGAGUCCACAAGAGCUUCAGAUACUAAUCCCUCUUUUGCCAAAUCCACUAGGCAGGACUCUAAAUGAUUCAACAAUAUACCUAUCGGUACGUUGGAAAGUGGGAUCCCAUCUGGAGUUGAUGGCAUGGUUAGGACCAUCAUACUUCCCUCCACGAGUUCUUUUGCUCUGGCAUCGAAGAACGUCCCCAUGUCCUUUGAAAAUUGGGCUGCAAAAGCUUCGACUACUAUUUCUGGGGCAUUAGUGUAAUGAAUCUUCCCUUGGUUCCAUGCUGGAGAAUCCUUGUCUUGCACUUCCUGAGGCACCUCGGAAAGCCAGUGUAGUGCAUAAGAGGAAUGUACAAAAUGCAGAGAGGAAUCAGGGAACAAACGGCCGUGAAAAGAUCCCGGUACAGCGGCUGUGAAGUAUUUUCUUUUGGAAGGGAGAGACUUGAAAAGAGUAUUGAAAUCGUUGAAAGGAAGAUCAUUAAAGAAGACUUGAAAUUGAGGCACUUGAUCAGGAGUGAAGCCUUCUGAUAUGAACUUCUUUUCCACAGCAUCAAGAAUAUUGUGUGUACUGUAGAAUGCGUUAGGGCCCACUGAACAUCCCAUAUCCGCAACACAAAAUGCUUUGUAAGUAGAUGAAAAUGGUUCUAUUUCAAGCUUCUCCAUGAUCGUUUCAUCAAUCACUUCCGUAACAAAUACCAUGACUGGUCUCUGUCGACAAUUGACAGCGUUCUUGGUGGUGGCCUUGACACACAUCUUCAACUCUGGUUCUGUCUGUAACACUCGCCUAUCUCUUAGCUCUAUCAGUUGCAGAACAAAAAUUUAUAGCCCAGGUGGGGGUGGCCGUCCUCCUAACAUAGAUUCUUUUCCAAAAGAAUGACUUAUGUUCAACUAACUUUUGUGUGUGUCUUUUAGUCAUCAUUGGGCAAAAGAUGGAUUUAGACACUUCUUGAUUCGAC
This 7044-nucleotide unclassified non-coding RNA is filed under the name Hevea brasiliensis (rubber tree). Lineage: Eukaryota; Viridiplantae; Streptophyta; Magnoliopsida; Malpighiales; Euphorbiaceae. The record is from RNAcentral.